Molecule: long non-coding RNA, 6412 nt
Organism: Pogoniulus pusillus (Red-fronted tinkerbird)
Lineage: Eukaryota; Metazoa; Chordata; Aves; Piciformes; Lybiidae
Exons: 2
Source: RefSeq, a predicted model, not a curated record
ACCUGCAGAAAAAGAGAUUCACAAAGAACAUGGACUAGUGUUGCAAGUCCCUUUUUGUUUUGUCCUGUCUUUCUGUAGAUAUAUGUGAACUGACUUAUCCAGUUAUUUUUAAAGCAGCUUCAAUUCCAUUACUGCAAAUACAUAUUACACAAUAGACAGACAAGAGAAACUGACAAAAAGUUUAACUCAUUGGUGAAUGCUUUCUUGUAACUCCUAGUCCUCCACUGUACUAACACUCUUCUUUUUCUUAGACAAAUACAUUCUUCUAGGUGAUGUGAAACCAUCAGAAUUUAUCUCAAUGCGUGUUUAUUCUCAAAAGACACAUUGCUUAUCAGUGGCAAAAAGUCAACACCACCACAGCACCUUGCACAAUUAUGGAAAGCUUAAUCUCUUCUUCCCUAGUAAUAUUUUAAUCAGUUUAGGCAUUUAUGACUAAAAUAUGAAGCUUACUUUGUAAAGGGAGGUGUUUUAAUAGCAUUAGUAACUCCACUUUCUUUUCACUGUUAUCAUGUUUUUCCUCUGCUUCAAAACUGAUACUGGUUCAGGACUAAGCCACAAAAUUUAAAGCAUUUUUGUUUCAAAGGCAAAUUCUCUCAUUUUUCUUACAGUGUGCUAGUGCUGUCAGGUUUUUGACUGAUAAAGGUCUGUUCUGGAUAUAAAAGUUCUAACUCUUCCCCUAGGCCUACUGGCUAGCACUGUCUGGUUUAUUUUAAAAAUAAUCAUGUGUUUCCAUAUAUUCACAUUUUAAGCAUGCCACAACUCAUGCAGGCUUUGCAGAUCACACCUAUGUAAGUUCAGGCUUUUGUAUGCCUUAUCUUUUGAGUGCUGUAUGGCUUAUGUAAAACUUUGGAUCACAGAAAUACUUCAAAAUUCAAUUAUACAGGCCCAGUGAUUUUUCUGUUUGCUGGGCAUCAUACUGAAGAUGAAAAAGAACAAAAAGGACAAAACUCUGUUAAGCUUGAAACAAACAGGACACACCUAAACUGUUUACUUAUCACAUGAAAACAUAGAAGACUUUAACCAUUCUGGAAACAAAAUUAGACCUUCCAAGUCAAAGAAAGUAGAUGUACAUCAAGGGAGACAACAGGAAGCCAUUUUUUGACAAAAGAGUGUCAAUUCUUGUGUAUAAAAUAAAUGUAGUUAAGCAGCAAUAAGAUGAGAAAAAGAACAGCAAGUUAUAAUUGCUUCUGUUGGUAAAAAGGAAAGAAAAAUAACACUGCCAAAUGGUUUGCUAGGUGAGUUGUACAUUACGACAUGGGAGACACCCUGCUAAGUUAUUCUAUUCCCAUUGGCUUUGGCAAAGCACCAGCUGAAGUACACCAUCUUACAUAAAGUAUUAGAUUUCAAGAUGCAACAACAGGGCAUGUCCACAAAAGUAUGACCUAUGAGGAAAAGCAGAUGAAAUGUUAGGAUUAUUUCAGGAAAGUUAUUAUUCUUUCCAACCACCAUAUAGAAGCUGUCUACUCAAACUGAAGGCCUUCAUGGGAUGCACGUCAGAGUGAGCAAGACAAUGGAUUUUAAGGAGAAGAUCAGAUGCAUAAGAGGGAAAAAAACAUGAAAAGAAGAAAGGUGCAGUAUGGAAACAAAAGCAGAAAGAUUUUGAAGACAAGUCUGAAUUAUACAUGGAGCCAGGAUAAUGGUACAGAGCCUCAGAAAAAGUAAGGGUCACAUUUAGUGGUGCUCUAUUUUGAACUUAUCAAUUGCCUAAACGUACUGUUUUUUAGAGAUCAGAAAAAGUUCUCUCCCUCUAUUCCUGUCCAUUACCUAGCCUGCAUGCUAUUGUGCUUUUCUUCCCUAUUAUGCACCAGAACAGCAAGAGUACUAAAAAAAAAAAAAAGGUAAGCAAUACUUCUUGCCUAAAGCUCUCACCUACAACGAAUAGAGCAGCUCUUUGAAUAAGUAGAGAAGAAUCAAUCAGACCUUUUCCAGAUUACAAAGGCUCUUCUUUUGAAAGAGAAAAGAGCACAGUAGCAGGCACUUUUUAAAUGCACAUAUUAUUGUUUGAUGGCACUAUUAAUUUGAGUUACAGGAACUACCCGACUGAAUGAUGUUAGCCUUACCGUAAGCUUUUACUAUACUUUUUAGCUGCCACUGCCCAAUUUUGCGAUUUGAAGAAAGUAUUUCCUAUAUUCUUUAUGUCUUCUGCUAUGACCACAAUCUUGUCAACCUAAUAAAAUAGAUGGAAAAAACAGCAGGAUCAACAUGCCCAUCCUCUUUCAAAGACUAUAAAAUCUCAGAAAAAUAUUCCAGUUUUAGACAAAUACUAGCUUCAAAUUAUUCCUGUAAUAUUUGCUACUUUAUUUUACACAUUAGCCUGAAAGAUGAAAUUCCUAAUGGGUUUACUAAAGUAUAAAGUGUGACAAAAUACCAGAAACAACAGAGCAGUUCAACUCUUUCUCUAAAUGCUGCUACCCACACAGAGCUAUAUAUAAAGGUGUUGACCGUUAUUCAUGGGAGACGUGUUAACAAUCAAAGUAUUCAACCAAGACUGCUUCUUCCCUGUCUUCUAUCUUCUCAAACACUAUUUGUCACCUGAAUUCUGCACACUGUUAAGCUAAAAGUCCUAUCAAUGCAAUUCUCCUUUUCCCAAUACACAGCUGUGGAAGGAGAAAAAAACAACUGCCUGUCUUCAUCAGACUAUCAUUUCUAUUUCCAGGACGGAACACAUUUCAAGUGUUAAGUUACUUUUCCAGUGGCAAUAAAUGGUUUAUAAUUACUGCCACCUCUACCACAGUUGUUUUAAGGUCUGUCAAAUGUAUAUAAUGCCAUUUGUAAUACUAUCAGUUUACACGUCCUACUCUACUAGAAUGACCUUGAAAGAAAUUGACCACAGUGUGAGACCAAUGUCACCAUAGUUUCUGUAGUUUAUAUGAACAAGGCAGGCACCUCAAAACCACAGCAAAUGCUAUAAAAAAAUUUUCAGAGGUUGAAGUGCUUCUCAAUAGCCAGAUACACAGAGUUUCUGGUUUCUAGUUGUAAUGUCUUUUAACUAGUUCAAUUCUGUAUUAGCAAGUUGCAUGUGCAGCUCCUUUUUAAUCCUCUCACAAAUUAUUGUUUAAUUUACAAUUUAUCUAUUCCACUUUUGUGAUAGUUAAAACCUGCAUAAGAGCUACUUUCAUCAGACUGCUCCCUACCUCAACAUGUCUUCAGUUUGAACAAUCCGAAAAGCAAACAGCUACUGAGAAUGAACAGUUCUGAUGUAGUAAAAAUUUGAUCUUUUAUUAUUUCUACUAAAUGCAGCAAAUAUUUAUAAAAGUGGAUAUUAAAAAAGUUGCACAAAAUGUAUAGGUACAAUGUUAAGUUAGUCAGCUGUAGGAUAGAGUUCAAGUAACUGCUAUUUGUUGCUAUGGCACAAACAAAGGUACAGAGAAACAAAGAACAGGAGAAAAAAAAAGAUCAUUAAUAAUUAUGUAAUUAUGUUUUUAGUUACUAGGGAAUCAGCUGCAAGUAGCACAGGAAAAAAAGAGACAGCAAUCCUCAUCCACAGCAUUCUCUUUCUUAAAUCUGAAUGUCACCAUUUUAUCAGGACCUUGACCUAUCCUUAAGAAAAUAGGCUUACUGAACAUCAUCACAGACACCAUGUAAUUAGAUUACCUACAAGUCUUGCAUUUUGUAAGAAAAAUACUUACAUCCUUCAAGUCAAUGUCUGAAUCUUCAGGAAAAUCUGGAUGAGCAUCUCCAGAUCCAUCCUGGGGGACAAUUCCCCAGUCAUCUCCCUCCUUCAGCUCUCCACAUUCUGCUAUGAUGCACAACUGAAAAGGUAAACAUCAAUAUUACUUAUUAAGGGAAUUUCUUCUCCCCCACAAACAAAAAAAGCUACGCCUUCUGAGUGCCCUUUGAAAUUCAGUAAAAAUGCUUUCUUCAUCUGUUGUUUUGGUGCAGGGACUUCUGAAACUCAUCAUAUCAUUAGCCUAUCCCCAUCAAAAGGCUUUUAUCAUAUAAAUUGUUGCGUUUGGAGGAGCAGCAUUCCAAGAGCACCAUACCCACACUUCAGAGAAAGGCUACAAGAGGAACUGGCAGCAAGCUGAGCUGCAGCAGAACACAAGAUACGGCAGUUGUGCUACAUUAGAGAAGACAGCUUGCUUAAACUUCCACCUCUUUUGUAGUUACAGAGAUAGUUUUCAAACAACCAGAAACUGACAUGACCUCCACACCAACUACUUUUCCAGAAACAUGAUUUCUGACAUAAAAUUCUUAAGAAUUACCUAUCACUUAAGUAGGGUUAUGAAUUCCGCACUUUAAUUACAGAACCUGUCCUACCCUUCUAUCUCUGCACUUCCACCUUCAUUCUGAUAAAGGCUUCCAGACUCACAGCUGUAUUAAUAAUGUAUCAGUUGUUUCUGUAGGGGAGAUUUACAGCAGAACAAAAGCCUCUUACAAAGGACUGUAAAAUGGAAAUAGACACUAUUUGAAAAAAUAACCAGCUAACACCAGUUCUAAACAUUAUACUAAGCAUUUAGAACAAAAUAAUAUACAUUGUAUAAUUGAAGAAUAUGUAUCAUCCCUAAGUGCUUUGAGUUUUAUUUACCUUAGCAGGAUUUUCUCCUUUUACUUCAACGUUUUCUAACAUUUUAACUACACCCAUUCCUUUGAUCACUUGGCCAAACACCACAUGCUUCCCAUCCAGGUGAGAAGUAGGCACCGUUGUAAUAAAGAACUGAGAACCAUUAGUACCAGGUCCUGCAUUUGCCAUGCUCAGCAGCCCUGGCUUAUCAUGCUGCAUUGGGGAAAAAAAAUACACAACAUGUAAAAGAUCUGUUACAAACCAUACAUAUGAUUCUGUAAGGUUAUUAAUAUAUAGAGCAAGAACAGUGAUAAUGACAACUUGGUAAACCAGAUAAUUACAUCUGGCAACCAGUUUUACUUAAUCAUGACUGAAAAGGGCAAAUGCCCAGCUCUGCAUCAUUACUUGCUACCUAGCAGUGUAGUAAGAUUGCUGCAUGUCUGACUUGAUGCUGUAAUAUCUGUCUGCUUCUUGUAUGCUCAAUCCCUUGCAUAGCUGCUGAGCUUAGACUGAUGACCUGAGAAAAAGUGAGAUUCCUCACUGGAUUACUCAAGAUUGCUGGCCUCAAGAAACAAAGCUAAACACCACUUAAAGCAGCUUUAAUGUUACAGUAUCAAAAUGGUAGGUAUUGUUAAUUUUAUUAACAGCUGCUCAUAAAAAGUAUGUUAUGGUACUGUGGGGUUUAGGGACUGCAGUCUGUAUGUAAAGGCCAGUGGUUUGGUUAACUCCUUCACUUUCCUACAAAGUUCAGUUUUUACUCUGCUGGGACUUUUAACCAUCUCAUUUUGGCUCUUGCUGCCUACCCACAAACUAGCAAAUUUAUUAAACAGUCUAACGCAAUAAGAUGCUGUUUAUCUUGUAUCCUGUGAGUACUUUUCCCUCCUUAGAAAUAACAAUUAUCUUGCUCCAUGACACAGAUUAUUUCACUUUCACUUGUACUGCACCAGUGUACUUUUUGUAUGUGUUGUAAAUCUCUUGUUUAACUGGCAUGACACGAUCAUUAAGAUACUAUCCUCUCCAAGCUGGUCUGAUUAUUAUUCAGUGCAAGAAACUAUUUAAUGUGAAGUCAGUAUCUUAUAUCAAAACACCAGUACAUCUCUGAAGAAUGCAAGCUGUAAUAUUCCUAAGAAACCUGAUCCUGUGGGGAGGAGAGGAGAGCUGAAAAAUAAGUACGACAGCACAGAAGAGAGGCAGAAGUUGCUGUUAAAUAGACCUCAGAGCUCAAUGUGAGGUUGACUAGUUUGAGACAACAGUCUGAGACAGCUGUACUUAAACAUCGUUUGUCCCUAUAGUCUCUACCACUUUGAAGAACCUGUUAUUUUGAAAACUGUUUUCCCACAAAGUGUUUGGAUGUUCACGGUGUUAGGGAACACUCUUUCCCUAAGCCACGAGUUUGAAUCUUUCAAACGGGAUUUAGCUCAGAAAGUCUGGGAAAAGGCUGUACAGCUGAGAGCUGGAAUCACACCCAGCCAACAGAAAGCUACUGGAAUGUUACUGAAAGUCCAUAACUCAUCCUAGAAAUGGCAGAGGGGAAGCAAGAGAAAGCAUCUGGUAGCAAGCCUGCAGGAAUCCAGCCUCUGAAACAAAUAUCCGACAUUCGCAUUGUAGCUGCUAGUAAGCACGUUAAUCAGGAGAGUUCCCUCAUUCUUGCAAAUAUCAUUUGAGGCUGGCCACCGAUUCACUGCCCAAGGGACAGAACAAAACCUAUAAAUCUUACUAGCUUUUUUUUUCUCCUCCAAUUACAAGUAAUGCCAGACAGCAAUGGUUUGUAAACAAAGAUUCAAGCAGCAAUAAGCUCUGGUGUUACACUUGCAGAUUUAUCUUUUGUCUGUGAAGAUUUGGAGGACAGGUUAGAAAGUUAUGGAGUGUAGUCUGGUGGUCCAGAGGAGCCCGAAGAACAGUAAUGGA